GGUUUGGGUUAACGUCCCGCAACGAGCGCCAACCCCUUAUUGUUUAGUUGCCAUCAUUCAGUUGGGCACUCUAGCGAGACUGCCGGUAAUAAACCGGAGGAAGGUGGGGAUGACGUCAAAUCAUCAUGCCCCUUAUGACCUGGGCUACACACGUGCUACAAUGGUUGGUACAACGAGUUGCGAGUCGGUGACGGCGAGCUAAUCUCUUAAAGCCAAUCUCAGUUCGGAUUGUAGGCUGCAACUCGCCUACAUGAAGUCGGAAUCGCUAGUAAUCGCGGAUCAGCACGCCGCGGUGAAUACGUUCCCGGGCCUU
This 313-nucleotide ribosomal RNA is filed under the name uncultured Streptococcus sp. RNAcentral's name for it is "bacterial SSU rRNA". It matches the Rfam family "Bacterial small subunit ribosomal RNA", at positions 1072 to 1382 of the family's 1533-position model. The record is from RNAcentral. Lineage: Bacteria; Bacillati; Bacillota; Bacilli; Lactobacillales; Streptococcaceae.